Molecule: ribosomal RNA, 497 nt
Filed under: uncultured bacterium
Lineage: Bacteria
Description: partial 16S ribosomal RNA
Rfam family: Bacterial small subunit ribosomal RNA
Source: RNAcentral
GAUGAACGCUGGCGGCGUGCCUAAUACAUGCAAGUCGAGCGAACAGACGAGGAGCUUGCUCCUCUGACGUUAGCGGCGGACGGGUGAGUAACACGUGGAUAACCUACCUAUAAGACUGGGAUAACUUCGGGAAACCGGAGCUAAUACCGGAUAAUUUAUUGAACCGCAUGGUUCAAUAGUUAAAGACGGUUUUGCUGUCACUUAUAGAUGGAUCCGCGCAGCAUUAGCUAGUUGGUAAGGUAACGGCUUACCAAGGCAACGAUGCGUAGCCGACCUGAGAGGGUGAUCGGCCACACUGGAACUGAGACACGGUCCAGACUCCUACGGGAGGCAGCAGUAGGGAAUCUUCCGCAAUGGGCGAAAGCCUGACGGAGCAACGCCGCGUGAGUGAUGAAGGUCUUCGGAUCGUAAAACUCUGUUAUUAGGGAAGAACAAAUGUGUAAGUAACUAUGCACGUCUUGACGGUACCUAAUCAGAAAGCCACGGCUAACUACGUG